Molecule: non-coding RNA, 137 nt
Organism: Medicago truncatula (barrel medic)
Lineage: Eukaryota; Viridiplantae; Streptophyta; Magnoliopsida; Fabales; Fabaceae
Source: Rfam
ACAAUACUCCCUCCGUCCCAAAAUGUAAGCAAAAAUUGGUCAACAAAAGUUAAUGUAUUUGGUUCAAAAUUUAUGCCACAUUCAUCAACUUAUGUUAACCCAUUUUUGCUUACAUUUUGGGACGGAGGGAGUAUGUA